AUUAAUGUGACCAAGCCAGGUUUAUGCACAAUUGCAUUUGCCCCGGGGCAGAUCAUUUAAUUGUUUUGUUACGCCAUAUAUCAAGUCUGCACUGAGAAACCCAGCCUAUCUAGGCUAUCACAACCCUCACUGACCAAACAGGUCAGCACCAUACCUGUGCAGGUGAGUUUCACCAAAGUGGUACCGGGUAACCGUCUGAGGCCUGCAUCACUUCCCUCCUACCCUGCACAUCAAGCUGACUCGCUGUGAUAUAAAUGGAAUACUGGUCACACUCAACACAUUCACUAAUUGUAUGCGCAAUUGUUUCUGUGAUAAACGCAAGUUGGCAUCCAGUGAAUUGAAAGAAUAGUGCAUUUUACAAUCUAUAUUUUUACUUUUCAUUGUAGGGUUGAUGGAAUCUAAAAACAGAUAAAGAAAAAAUAACUUCAAAUUUGGCCAGUCCAAUUCUAAUACAUGUACUUGUUUUACAAAUAAUUUUAUAACCAACAAGCAUGUGAGAGAUAUUUAUGGCAUUUAAGGCUUCUUGACCAUUUUAGUAGUUUUACAUAUUUGGAUAUAUACUAAUGUUUAACAAUUUGUUUCUGAGAGAUAUUGCAUUUUUAACAUAUAUAGCCAGUUUUAUUAUGACAGCAUCAUCUUUUUCCUUAUAGAAAGCAUAUCCUUGAAUCAACUGGACUUAAUCGAAAUAAUUAUGGACUCGUUCUUUCAGAAGGAAUUACCAAACAGAUGUAUCUCCUGAUACAGAGAUCCGAAGCAGAUAACAACCCAAAUUGGAUGUGAAAUGUUCACCUUGGUCAAUGCCUAAAUCCAGAUGGGUUCAGCUGAUGGCUACUUUUAAAUGGACAGUAAUUAGCAUGGUGGUUGUUAAUUACAGGUGUGUCAGUGACCACAAGCCAGCUUCCUGCUGUUGCCUUGUGUCCAGUUUCAGUGACCCAGGUCACUGAUUACAUUCACAAUCCAGUGGGGAUAGUGGAUAUCCAAAUCUUUCAAGGUCAAGUUCUGCCUACCAAGAUGGACAACAGGCUGUGUGGUGAUAAAUAUACAUAACAGUACUUGUAGUAUAAAUAGGUUAAGGUCAUGAACUAUGUGGAACAAUGUGGACGUGUGAUUGACAGCUAUUGAACAUGGUUGGAUAUGAGGAACAGCUGGAUGUCAAUCAAUAUGAAAUAUAUUUCAGUUAUCCAACUGAAGAAAUAUGUACUUUCCUUUUAUGAAUAUUUGAUUUCGAGUUUCAAGAGACAAGAAGUCCUUUUGUGUUGGUGUUUUAGCAUUAUAAACUCUUGA
Long non-coding RNA from Haliotis rufescens (red abalone), 1284 nucleotides. RefSeq lists it as uncharacterized. The transcript is spliced from 3 exons. Lineage: Eukaryota; Metazoa; Mollusca; Gastropoda; Lepetellida; Haliotidae. The record is from RefSeq and is a predicted model, not a curated record.